Molecule: ribosomal RNA, 382 nt
Filed under: uncultured bacterium
Lineage: Bacteria
Description: bacterial SSU rRNA
Rfam family: Bacterial small subunit ribosomal RNA
Source: RNAcentral
GCGUGAGGGAUGAAGGUUCUCGGAUCGUAAACCUCUGUCAGGGGGGAAGAAACCCCCUCGUGUGAAUAAUGCGAGGGCUUGACGGUACCCCCAAAGGAAGCACCGGCUAACUACGUGCCAGCAGCCGCGGUAAUACGUAGGUGGCGAGCGUUGUCCGGAAUUACUGGGCGUAAAGGGCGCGUAGGCGGCCUGUUAAGGCAGAGGUGAAACCCCCAGGCUCAACUUGGGGAUUGCAUAUGAAACUGAUGGGCUCGAGUGUCGGAGAGGAAAGCGGAAUUCCUAGUGUAGCGGUGAAAUGCGUAGAUAUUAGGAGGAACACCAGUGGCGAAGGCGGCUUUCUGGACGAUAACUGACGCUGAGGCGCGAAAGCGUGGGGAGCAAA